Molecule: ribosomal RNA, 305 nt
Filed under: uncultured bacterium
Lineage: Bacteria
Description: bacterial SSU rRNA
Rfam family: Bacterial small subunit ribosomal RNA
Source: RNAcentral
CAGCCUAUGGGAGGCAGCAGUGGGGAAUAUUGCACAAUGGGGGAAACCCUGAUGCAGCGACGCCGCGUGAGUGAAGAAGUAUUUCGGUAUGUAAAGCUCUAUCAGCAGGAACGAGACAAGACGGUACCUGACUAAGAAGCCCCGGCUAACUACGUGCCAGCAGCCGCGGUAAUACGUAGGGGGCGAGCGUUAUCCGGAUUUACUGGGUGUAAAGGGAGCGCAGGCGGCGUGGCAAGUCAGAUGUGAAAACCCGGGGCCCAACCCCGGGACUGCAUUUGAAACUGCCAUGCUGGAGUGCCGGAGAG